RNAcentral lists this ribosomal RNA (497 nucleotides) under uncultured bacterium. RNAcentral describes it as "partial 16S ribosomal RNA". It matches the Rfam family "Bacterial small subunit ribosomal RNA", at positions 28 to 507 of the family's 1533-position model. The record is from RNAcentral.
GAUGAACGCUGGCGGUGUGCCUAAUACAUGCAAGUCGAGCGAACGGACGAGAAGCUUGCUUCUCUGAUGUUAGCGGCGGACGGGUGAGUAACACGUGGAUAACCUACCUAUAAGACUGGGAUAACUUCGGGAAAACGGAGCUAAUACCGGAUGAUAUUUUGAACCGCAUGGUUCAAAAGUGAAAGACGGUCUUGCUGUCACUUAUAGAUGGAUCCGCGCUGCAUUAGCUAGUUGGUAAGGUAACGGCUUACCAAGGCAACGAUGCAUAGCCGACCUGAGAGGGUGAUCAGCCACACUGGAACUGAGACACGGUCCAGACUCCUACGGGAGGCAGCAGUAGGGAAUCUUCGGCAAUGGGCGAAAGCCUGACGGAGCAACACCGCGUGAGUGAAGAAGGUCUUCGGAUCGUAAAACUCUUUUAUUGGGGAAGAACAGAUGUAGAAGUAACUGUGCACAUCUUGACGGUACCUAAUGAGAAAGCCACGGCUAACUACGUG